AGUUAGGUAGAGCAACUCGUUUACACACCGAGAAGGUCUACGGUUCGAAUCCGUAUAGCCCUA
Molecule: transfer RNA, 63 nt
Filed under: Sagittaria trifolia
Lineage: Eukaryota; Viridiplantae; Streptophyta; Magnoliopsida; Alismatales; Alismataceae
Description: tRNA-Val
Rfam family: tRNA
About the family: Transfer RNA (tRNA) molecules are approximately 80 nucleotides in length. Their secondary structure includes four short double-helical elements and three loops (D, anti-codon, and T loops).
Source: RNAcentral